This 206-nucleotide long non-coding RNA is filed under the name Volvox carteri. RNAcentral's name for it is "long non-coding RNA (VCAR_LNC001690)". Lineage: Eukaryota; Viridiplantae; Chlorophyta; Chlorophyceae; Chlamydomonadales; Volvocaceae. The record is from RNAcentral.
GCACAUAAAAGGGAUGGUGCGGCCGCAUAUGUGGCUCAAAGGAGCGCAAGGGGCCUCUGAUGAACGUAAUCAAUGUGUUGUGUAUUUGCUUGAAGAAACUAGCUAACGAGGAUAUGCAUAUGUAUGUGAGACCUGUUUAGUGGCUGAAUAUAUGACGUUCCACGUCUGCAAUAACCUUUGAUUACAACAGCGCAAAUAUAAGACCA